Molecule: ribosomal RNA, 206 nt
Filed under: uncultured Proteocatella sp.
Lineage: Bacteria; Bacillati; Bacillota; Clostridia; Peptostreptococcales; Filifactoraceae
Description: partial 16S ribosomal RNA
Rfam family: Bacterial small subunit ribosomal RNA
Source: RNAcentral
UGCGUAGGUGGCCUGACAAGUCAGGGGUCAAAGGCAACGGCUCAACCGUUGUAAGCCCUUGAAACUGUCGGGCUUGAGUUCAGGAGAGGAAAGCGGGAUUCCUAGUGUAGCGGUGAAAUGCGUAGAUAUUAGGAGGAACACCAGUGGCGAAGGCGGCUUUCUGGACUGAUACUGACACUGAGGCACGAAAGCGUGGGGAGCAAACA